This 433-nucleotide ribosomal RNA is filed under the name uncultured bacterium. RNAcentral's name for it is "bacterial SSU rRNA". It matches the Rfam family "Bacterial small subunit ribosomal RNA", at positions 30 to 506 of the family's 1533-position model. The record is from RNAcentral.
UUGAACGCUGGCGGUAUGCUUAACACAUGCAAGUCGAACGGGGGUAGCAAUACCCUAGUGGCGCACGGGUGCGUAACGCGUGGGAAUCUGCCCUUUGGUUCGGAAUAACAGUUAGAAAUGACUGCUAAUACCGGAUGAUGACUUCGGUCCAAAGAUUUAUCGCCAAGGGAUGAGCCCGCGUAGGAUUAGGUAGUUGGUGGGGUAAAGGCCUACCAAGCCGACGAUCCUUAGCUGGUCUGAGAGGAUGAUCAGCCACACUGGGACUGAGACACGGCCCAGACUCCUACGGGAGGCAGCAGUGGGGAAUAUUGGACAAUGGGCGAAAGCCUGAUCCAGCAAUGCCGCGUGAGUGAUGAAGGCCUUAGGGUCGUAAAGCUCUUUUACCAGGGAUGAUAAUGACAGUACCUGGAGAAUAAGCUCCGGCUAACUCCGU